This is a long non-coding RNA of Bombus pyrosoma, 5747 nucleotides long. RefSeq lists it as uncharacterized. NCBI's taxonomy places the organism in Eukaryota, Metazoa, Arthropoda, Insecta, Hymenoptera, Apidae. The transcript is spliced from 2 exons. The record is from RefSeq and is a predicted model, not a curated record.
CAAGGAGAAUAUGCGUUUGAAUAAGCCAAUGUAAACUAUAAUAAUAUAUUUUAGAGUUAGAAGUUCAGGUAACUUCCUAUAGAACUAUAACGGAUUCGGCAAAUAUUUACGAAAAAUCUGGCGAUAUUUCGCAAAGGGGCAAAGUGUUCUAGCUUGUUAUCAGAUUUCUAAGCAACCGUGUACACUUGCAUGAUUCACUCGAGUAGUUCUAGAAACAGGUAACACGCGUGCACAUGUUACGUGAAACGAUAAUACGUCCGUGCUCUGAAAUCUGUUUGUCAAAGCAACCGCGUUUAUCUUCGCAAGAGAUUCCUUAAUUCUAAUUCAAAUCUCACAAUUUCUGGAGCAUGGCCGACCGGCGUACAUACAGUCGACACAUACAGUCAGCCACGAAAGUCUACGUACGCCUAUCGAAUUUCGUGUAUCCGACUCACUGAAGAAACUGAAAACGCACUUUGACGCGAUAUUAUUUAUAUUUAUAUGUGAACGCGAUCGGCAUUCCGCAAGGAAUUACAAAAAUUAAAACAUUUAACUCGGAAAAAUCUCGAGAUAAAAUUACGCGAGAAAUUACAAAACCUUUGAUUUCAUCGAUGCCAAGGAGAUACCGUUAUUAUUAAUGAUUACGCAGGGAGGUGGAGGCUGCAAGAUAUUGAUAUAAUAUUAAGCUUAAAUCUUUUUAAUCUUUUUUUUGUUUUUUUUUUUUUUUUGGUAAAAAUGAACUUGAAUAAAUCCUGUUACAGUCGAAUAAUAUCUGUUUUAACAGUUAUAUAAUAAACUUUUUAUUAUAAUUCUAUACUUGCGGAAUAUAUGUAGACUUUCGCGACUGACUGUAUGCAUACUCGCGGUGAAAUCAAAGUGCUAUCGUCGGAUCCAUGACCACUUUUACAAAAUGUUGGUUUGGAAGCUGAGGUCAUCGAGGAAUCGUCGGAAAUUCGAGGAAUGAUCGUGUGAUGCGAAUUACGAUUGUAAAUCUGAAUUCUGUUUCAAAAAGCGGGCCAUUUUCGAGGCGCAACCGUGUCGCUUCGAGCCCUUGAAACCGCGUGUGUGACUCUGUAUAUCUCGCAUGGCAACAGUCGCCCUUAAUUCGCGUUGCAAACUCGAGGCAAUAAAUGCGCGCGUAUGCGUGUUCCUUUCGCAAAGUAUACAAUCCUCUUUGGCGCGAAUAGUCGGAGAAAUUGAUUCAUAAACGUGCCGAUGAGACGAAACGAAGCUCAUUUAUUAUCGAUAGAACGAUAUAUGUAAGUAUAUUAAGAAUUCAACAAAUAUAAUUAGAAGAUCGGUAGAAUUAGAGUAAUAAUUGGAAAUAUAAUUAGAAUAAUCGGUAUUGAUAAGAUAUGUCUUUGGUAUCGAUACAAAAAUAUUUAUUGAGAAACUAUGAACGUUGCGUAUUUAUGUUAACCAAAUUAGUAAGGAUUUUUCUGUAUAUAAAUGGUUUCCUUAUUUCUCGUGAGCAAAUAUCAAAGUAUGAUGCGUCGUAGAUUAGCCGGGAGAGCAAGAGCAAAUACGUCGCAGACUCUGCGACGACAGUCAGCCUGCCGGAAAUGUUUGUGGUGGUAUCGUGACAGAAACCAGUUGGAAGAAGCUGAGAUUCCGAACGAAAUCGAGUAAUCAGAAAAUAGUUACAGGAGGAAAGACAGAGACAGAUGAAAGACGCUAGUUGGAGAGUCAAUUUACAAAGAAGGAAAAGAUUCUCGGCCGAUACUCCUCUCCGAAGAUUGAUCGCGUGCUUCGGUAGAACAUGAAAAUAAACUUGACAAAUAUUCUCGAAUGCUCGGUUUAUAAAAAUUCAGCAUUUUUUAAUGACCCCUAAUCUACAAGUCUAUAAGGCGAAAGGUGCGACGGAACGAGGUAAUAAAAGGUAGUAAAAUUGUUUUUUUUUUUCGGUUCUUUUUACAUAAUUGGAGAGAAAACGAAAGGAAGAGUACAACUCGAAGAAAAGAUAGUAGAUUAGAACAGUAAAACCAUAAAAUGGUCGUUUCUUUUUAUAUUUUAAACAUGCACCGUGAUUGCACGAUAUAUUUGUGAUUCUUCGGCUUUCUCAAUCGUGUCGUUUGAUACUCGCAUUGUCUCGCGUCCCGACGUUUUGUGAACAUAGCCAGUUCGCUUCUUCAGGAACAAAACGUAAUGCAUUGACAACACCAUUGAAACCCGAAUAAUCGCGAAUAUGUUAUUAAAAAAAUGAUAGAUAGUUAGUAGUACAGAGCGUAAAGAAAUUUAAACGGGGCGCAAUAGAGGCUUUCUUAAAGAAAGGGGUGGGUGGUUCGAUUUGAGUCCAGUAAAAUCGGGAUGGCGGUGGACACCGGCGCGGCGCGGAGCGGCACGGCCCAGUUCUCAUGCACGUCGACAAGGUCUCCGUUCGCCCCGGGCGAUCGGUACACAUGCGCCGACGAGUUGCUGCGAUUACGUAACUCAUCUUCUCCGACCUUACGCUCUUCUCCUUUUCUUGCUCUUGUUCCUCUUCUUCUUCUUCUUCUUCUUCUUCUUCUUCUUUCUCUUUAUCUUUUUCUUCUUCUUCAUCUUCUUCUUCUUCUUCGUCUUCUUCUUGUUCGUUUCGAUCCGGUUAUUCGCUGUGCCUUUUAUCGACGUUGUCGCGAGGAUAGCAGCCACGUUGUUCAUUCGGCAUAAAUUGUCCGAAUGCGCGGUGCUUCGAGCAAAGAUCAAACGGCGAGAUAUCGACUAAUUGAUUUUAUUAAUUACAGGAUGGAGCGCAGGCGACGCGUGGCUCUCAUUUAAUCGAAACGCGAGUGGUCGAGCUCGCGGGAACGCUAUGUAAUUACCGAGAACGAAGGGUUUGUCGCUUUAAAAGGUCGCGUUCCAAUACGCUUUUGUAAAAAUUAAUUUCGCGUCCCCGGGGGACGGAGGCCUUGUGCCGAAUGAAAAGAGUCCUAUCUCGUGCGAUUUUAAUUAAUACGCGGCUCAUCAUGGCUCGCCAACAAGCGCGAAGCGACGUUCGUAGACGCGCGAACCUACAAAGGGGAAAGUGUUGCUUCAACUUUUCAUCGAGCACCGGCGCGUCCUUCGUCCAACGCUGUACUCGGUUGUUCCAAGAAGAGCAAUAAACGAACUCCGGCUUUUAUUCGGCAGCUCCCGCCUCGAUAAAACUUUUCAUACAUGUACGUCCUCUUUUCCUCCUUUUUUUCUCUUCUUAUACCUUCUCGACGUCUUCUGAUUCUUGGUGUGCACGGGCCGAGCGACCCGCUUAUCUCGCAUUAAUCUUGAAUUAUUAAUUCUGCAGAACGUCUAGAUAUCGUAGACUUACGAUGGGAUUUACCGGUGGCGAAACAACGUUCGAGAAACGAGCACACGCGAAAAAUUGUGAACUUCGAAGGUUCGUGAGAUGCUGAAACGAGGUUGACGCACCGCGCCGGUAAUUCUUUCGAUCGCAGAUGGAUUGUUACGAAGGUACAAGGAAACUUCAGCUUUAUUAAGUUAUUCUUUAAUGAUAAAUUUCGUUUUUCAGAUAAACAGUCUCGGUAUGUAUUCGGCAUUCUUCUUUCACUCGCGCUUCGAUGGAUUGAAAAUUGAAAGAUGCUCGUCAAGUAAAAUACGAGGGAAUUGUCUCUAACCGGUAUACGUAAUCCGUUCAACUGUUUAGACCAGAUGAAAUGUUCUACUUCAUUGAGAUUCGUGACCCACGUAGUGAUCUACGACCCACAGCCCGAGGAUACGUUGGUUGAGCGUUCGCGGAUUUGCCUCCGCUCUCGUUCUCUUAAAUAAAUUACGAUACGUAGAAAUCCACCGUAAUGUCAUGAGUGUCGCAUUUAACUGUAACUGCCAGCUGUAUUCGAUCGAUCAUAUGUUUCAGACGGGUAAACACGUAAUUUGUACGUGUCUUGAAUAUUAAUCCGAUCAUUAACGAAGCACGUUUCGACAGAUUUCUUUCGAAUCUGAACGCUAUAACCUUUGAUCUUGUACUUCUUUUUUGCUAUUCGUAAGAAGUUCUAUUUGCGUCAGAUCUUCUUGUCAGAGCGCGAAACAUUUAUCGCGUUCGGCUUGUUGAGUACGAUCAACGUACGUACAGCUUCCAACACAUCGUUUAAUUACCGUGUCGUUCAGUCAUAGUAAACGUUAAUUAUAACAAUUAUUUCGUACGAUUGAACUGAUAUUAUUAAUCAAAUUACAAGCAGAGUAACGUGCGACUCGAAGAUUUUGCGAGCCACGAGUCAGCCGAUUGUCACGUUCGGCUGAAUGAAACAAUUGUAAAAUUGCAAGAAUUGUUUUUAAAACGGUAAUCUAUAGCCUGUCGAUUUGUCGUGUCGUGAAUCCGUCGAUGUUAUUAAUUACUAAACUAUUGUGCAAAAGAUUCCAUGUAUUCACACGAGAAACUAACUCGUACUUCAUAAAAUUCGCAAAGUAUGACGGUGGUCUUGCCCGCAUAAUUAGGGUGCACGACUUGCACACGAGCUGCAAGGUUUAUGUACGAUCAUGCGGGACAAUGAUCUUUCACUCUUGGAUCACGUUGCACAACAGCUCGAGACGAGGGAGCGGUCUCUCUCAUAGGCCUCCGAAAAGACCUCCAGCAAGAUGACUCUAAUAUUUGCCGAAGGAUAUAUGUACAGCUGUUACGACAGGAUCGAUUUUAUCGCGAAUUUCAAACGAAACAAGGAAUCACGUACGUAUCGCGAUUAUCCUCUCGUACAAAGCGUUCUAUGUUUUCUUUUUUUUUUUUUUUUUGCAUUCUUAAUCGAAUCAUCAGAAAAAUUCAGGAGUCCAGAUCUAGAAAUUGGUCUAUGUAAGUUUCUACGUAACGAAUCUGGACACCUGUAAGACGUUUGGUUUUCCAGACACAUGACGAUAAACGUGUCGCAAAUCAUAAACUGUUGCAGUUAGCUAAUUACACUGUCGUAAAAGAAACGUUGUCCUUUACGCAAACGAAAAGAACUGAAAAUUGGUAGUAAUUAAUUUCAACCAUUGUGCUGCAUUUCUUUCAAAAUGUCCAUGCAACAAAGUUGCAAAAUUCAAGGAGGCACAACGAAUUCUAUGUAAAAUUAUCGUCCUCCAUGAAUGUUCGUUAAAUCUCUAUGUUUCGCUUGUGGCGUUGCUUAAACCUUAGCCAAUUCUGCUGUCUUGGAUAGAAGCGUGCUUAUUAAUUUGCACUGUCUGUCGCACGCGUGUCACGCAUCGUAUGGCAGUUCUAUGAUAUCAUUAAGAAAUGGCUUUAAAGGAUAUGCAACGUACAUCGGACAUCGCAUGGCGCGGGUAGAUGAACGAUAUACGAGGUAUCUAAAACGUGACAAACGAUAGCUCGUGACGAUGGUCUGCUGUUCGCUAAGGAGUGUACGCCUCGUAUUACGCAAGUGAAAUAUCGCUUAUCUGAUGCACGCGUGAUGACGUUACCUGGGUUAGUUGUUGCAGGUGUUACGCGUUAUGUGUCUCUUUUCGUUUCAUCUGACGUGACAGUGUGUAAACAUUUCUUAUGCACCGGAUGGCGAAUAACGCCAUUUCAUUUUUUUUUACAGCUGUAUGUACAUUCAGCGUAAAGUACAAUAUCGCUCUGCGGUCUGACUGCGAAUGGGCAUAGACUUAUUAGGCAUUUUCUGUCUGAAAUUGCACUCCAAAUUAACUGACGAAGUUCUAUCUGUUCAUACGAAACUACAGCAUUCUGUUCGAAUACGCUGCAACAACAGUGAAAAAAUUAUAGUUUUUGAUAUAUUAUUUAUAUAAACGAAUUUUUCUAUAGUUUUUCUAUACAGUAAUGUCAAUUUUUCAAAAGGCGUAAAAUUCGUUCGUUGACGUAAUUCCUCUGC